GUGGCUCGUGCCGAAGUCAUGGCCAACUC
This 29-nucleotide small RNA is filed under the name Bombyx mori (domestic silkworm). RNAcentral describes it as "ovarian small RNA-17920". The record is from RNAcentral. Lineage: Eukaryota; Metazoa; Arthropoda; Insecta; Lepidoptera; Bombycidae.